UAGCGAGGUGGGGACCGGGCUCUCCUCCCAAGCACCAAGUGGUAAAAUGAGGGGAAAUGGCCUCAAAUUGCACCAGUGGAGGCUUAAGUUGGAUAUUAGGAGAAAUUUCUUUACUGAAGGGGUUGUGCAACAUUGAAACAGGCUGCCCAGGGAAGUCGUUGAGUCACCAUGCCUGGAGAUCUUCCAGAAACGUGUAGAUGUAGAACUUAGUACCAUGGUUUAGUGGUGGACUUGUCAGUACUAGGUUAAAGGUUCGACUAUAUGAUCUUAGAAGUCCUUUUCAACCUGAACAAUUCUAUGAUUCUGUGAUCCUAAGAUUCUUUGACCUUGAAGGAGCACCUGCCAUGCUGGGUAGCAUCACCUCUGUUCAUAGGGUACACAUGCAACUGAUCUCCAGUUUCAUCCUUUCACGGGUCCCACAAAGAGGAUGAAUGUGCCAGUAAGCAGCGCAUGGAGAGCUGCUAGGGCACAUUUGGCUCUGGCAUCUCUUCUCUUCAGCAGUCAAGAGGCCUUAGAUGUAGCAGUGAAAGAACUUGAAAACCACCUUUUCCUUUUUUUUUUUUUUUUUUUUUUUUUUUUUUUAACCUUUUCAAAUAACUGAGUUCACAAGAUAGCAGAAAGAGUGACUCUUCAUUUCAUUUCUGCAGGUUGAUGGUCUUGUCUCUGUUUGAUAGGUCUUGGCCAUGAAUGGCCAUGGACAAACCACUUCAUCCAAGAGUUUAGUGGAAAAGUAGAGAAAUUGUUUAGAACAAUCUAAAGGAAGUUUAUUUGUUCUCAGACAGAUAUAAAAUCUUUGUAGAGGAGGUAGCAAGUGUUGCAGUUUAUGUUCUUUCAGGAAGAAAGACCUUUUUCUUCCCCAGAAAUAGAGGAACAACCACAUUCGCAGACAGGUCUGGGGACAAAGGGAAACCCUUGGAAGAACACCUGGAGCUUAAGCAGCCUGGUCUGGUGUUGGUGGGGAUGUUGGAGGCCAUUGGAGCCCUACCUUGCUGCCAUGCUUGGUCCCAGCUCCCCGUCCCUCAGGCCACAGAUGGCUGUGUCUCCCUGGCAUGACCCCACCGAGAGAAGAGGCAAGUAUCAGGACAACAGCAAAUCUUCUCUCUUGAAAAACAGCAGGCACUGGAGGUGAGUGGCAGCACACAAAUGGCUGUUCUAGAAACUUCUGCCCAGGAGAUGUGAUCACUGAAGCCCAGAGGUUGGCCCUCCAGGCUUCGGCAUGUGCUGUUCACACAGGCUGCAGCAGCGUCGGAAAUGUGGCUGGGAGGAACAAGACCUGACCCAUAACUGCAGGAAGUUAUAAAUAACUGCUAGUUAUUUACAUCUGAAAUAAUCACACUGGUUUUGUUUCCUCACCUGCUUCAGAUGCUGAUUUGACUCCCCAAUGUUAGAUACCAAGGAUGAAUCACCAAGAGGUACCAGCUUCUCUGUACUGACUUGUAAAAGAGUUCUUAAGCAACAAGCCAAGUUGGAGGGCUAACCUUGGGUUGCCUAGAUUGGGCUGCCUAGGCUGUCUCACUCCUGAUUUUGAAACCAGGUGUGGAUCUGCUAUGGCAAUUCAAAACAAAAAUUAAAAAUCAACACCAGUCUUAAGAUAAGGAAAAAUGGGACCGAAACCUGUUGCCCCUGAACUUUGGAAGAAAUUUCUUUCAGCUCUCCAGUGCAUGGGGUGGUUACCACAUCCUGUUUUUACUAAAGUCUCUUUAAAAAAGUCAUGAGUGAUGAUAGAGAUAGAAGAGGAAGAGUCUCAAACUGUUAAAAUGUCCUUGGCUGUCUUUCUGCUACCUGGGUAGAUUUUGCCACGCAGAGUGCUGCUGAUCCUUGAGUGAUUCAGGUGCCCAAACAAGUUUAUUUAAAGCCAGCUUGGGAGCUUGGGUAUUUCUACACUACUCUGGACUUUGGAGAACAGAUAACCCUGAACAUGCAACCGGGCAAGGUGGAGAGGAGUCACACUAUGGUUUAUGGCCUAUACCUUUGCUAUUUUUGGAGGCUGGCUUGAUACAUGCAAGCUAAAAUCCCCAACUGACACCUCUCUGAACCCCUGAGGCUAAGGGCUGAUUAGCUAACUUGCAGGAUUUCUUUACAGAGAAAUACAUUUUCCAUUUGUAUAACUGUGGUCUAAGAAGUUGUUUUAAAGUUAACUUGCACAGAUGCGUCUUUUAAUGUGUUUUCUUUUCCAGUAUGACAGUUCUGGGGAGGUGGAGGGUUAUAAGACAUGACAAAUGCCUACUAUUUGCAAAUUCCAGAAAAAGCAAAAGGCACUAUUUUACUAUUUAAUAGACUUGGCAAGUACCUGGGUACAAAUAUCAGGAAUGUGCUCAAAUAUACAUGCCCAGCAUUUCCAGAAAAAAAAUAAAAAUGGUUUUCUCAAAUGAAAGGUGCA
Molecule: long non-coding RNA, 2380 nt
Filed under: Anas platyrhynchos platyrhynchos (common mallard)
Lineage: Eukaryota; Metazoa; Chordata; Aves; Anseriformes; Anatidae
Description: lncRNA (ENSAPLG00000020438.1)
Source: RNAcentral